GAAAGUCCUUCGGGAUGAGUAAAGUGGCGCACGGGUGAGUAAUACAUGGGAACAUGCCCUCAAAUGGGGAAUAACGUUUGGAAACGAACGCUAAUACCGCAUAAUCUCGCAAGAGUAAAGGUGGCGCCGCAAGGGCUACCGUUUGAGGAUUGGCCCAUGUCCCAUUAGCUAGUUGGUGAGGUAAUGGCUCACCAAGGCUACGACGGGUAGGGGACCUGAGAGGGUGACCCCCCACAAUGGAACUGAGACACGGUCCAUACACCUACGGGUGGCAGCAGUAGGGAAUAUUGCACAAUGGGCGAAAGCCUGAUGCAGCAACGCCGCGUGUGCGAUGAAGGCCUUCGGGUCGUAAAGCACUUUUCUGAGGGAUGAGCAAGGACAGUACCUCAGGAAUAAGUCUCGGCUAACUACGUGCCAGCAGCCGCGGUAAAACGUAGGAGGCGAGCGUUAUCCGGAUUUACUGGGCGUAAAGCGCACGCAGGCGGCUUCGUUAGUCGGGUGUGAAAGCUCCUAGCUUAACUGGGGGAGGCCAUUCGAUACUGCGAGGCUUGAGGUUGGGAGAGGGGUGUGGAAUUCCCGGUGUAGUGGUGGAAUGCGUAGAUAUCGGGAGGAACACCUGUGGCGAAAGCGGCACCCUGGCCCACACCUGACGCUGAGGUGCGAAAGCGUGGGGAGUAAACAGGA
This 684-nucleotide ribosomal RNA is filed under the name uncultured bacterium. RNAcentral's name for it is "bacterial SSU rRNA". It matches the Rfam family "Bacterial small subunit ribosomal RNA", at positions 70 to 777 of the family's 1533-position model. The record is from RNAcentral.